RNAcentral lists this long non-coding RNA (1591 nucleotides) under Phascolarctos cinereus (koala). RNAcentral's name for it is "lncRNA (ENSPCIG00000023640.2)". The record is from RNAcentral. Lineage: Eukaryota; Metazoa; Chordata; Mammalia; Diprotodontia; Phascolarctidae.
GGGAUCUCUCCUUUGAACUCAUUUUACUACAAAACAUGACUCCAUUUCCCUCUGGUGACCCGUUUCCUAUUCUAAUAGGAAUUCUAAGAAAAUAAAACUCAGGAUCUUGGCCACUUCUUGAAUCUUAGAAGCUUGUGGUAAGUUCUUUUUUACCCUCUUACCCAGACCACUGUCCUUCUGAAAGUAUCUGUGGAGAGUUUGGUGGGGUGGGACCGCUUCACUUUACCAUUCCUAUUCCUCCUUUCUUGCUCCUUCUGUUUCAUAGUAGAGUGAAGGCAAGAAUGAGAUAGAGCAAUCAAGGUCUGGGAUGAGGCUUGGGGUGGGGUGGCCAAGGAAAACCAAGAUGGAGGCUGUACUCUCUUUUUUUUCUGAUCCUAUAAUCUGUCGUUCUCCCCUUCCUUCCCCUCCCCUCCCUUCCCAACCAGAUUCAUUUUCCUCUGGUCAUGGAGCUGGGCAAGAUGAAGGUCUUGACCCCCACAUAUUACAGAUGGAGAACCAUUUCAAGUCCUGUGAAGAUUUCACCCAGAAGGAAUGCCUGCCAGUAGCUGCUCACUGUUAUUUACGAGACAUCAGAUUGAUGUUGAGAAAUUGCACGAGGAGGAUUAAGAAAAGGAAAGAGCUGAUCACUAAUUCUAGCCGGAUCAUUCAGCACAGAUUUUUUCCAGGCUCAUUGCCUGGUCUCAGCCUACAGUUCUCCAGGAUGUCCAGUCAAUGUCCCUACCUACUCAAAAUGUUCCUACAGGCACUAAACAUAAGAUGUCUAGUGGUGGUGAGUACUUAUCUGGAAGAAGAAUGGAGCCUAGAGGGGGAGGAGGAGUAUAUCCAUGUUAAUUGUUUCUAACAGACUAAUUACCUCCAGUUUUGUUCAAUUUAUCUUGGGUUCUUUUCUUUUUCUGAAUCUAGUUUCUCUGAAAAUAUUUAAAAUCCUUUCUCAGGGCCCUUUAAAAACAACGACAACAAACCUCAUUUCCUCCCAAGUCCACUCCAUUCCCAUCAAUGUUUACCUAAGGAUGAAGAGGAAGCAGAGCAAAAAGUGUCUGGAUGACAAACAAAGGUGUGUGGAGAAAACCUUGGACUCUCCUAAGUCAGAAGACAGGCCACCUGGUCUUCUAGACAUGCCAAUGAUUUUAUUUUGUCUGUUUGUUGUACCUAGACAUACAUUAUUUCAUCUCUCCAUCUCUUGUUCUCUUCUGAAAAAGUCAUUCUUUCCAUUGAUACUGUUGUAGCCACUGUGCAUAUUAUUUUCUUGGAUGUGCUCACUUUACUCAGCCAUCAGUUCAUGUCUUCCUAUGCUUCUCGAGUUCCUCACAUUUAUCUUGUUAUGGCACAAAAUAUUCAAUGACAUGCAUGUACCCAGAAUUUGUUUAACCAUUAUCCUAGUUGAUGGGUAUCAACUCUGCUUCCAGUUUUUUGUUACAACAUUAAAAAGUACUGCUACAAAUAUUUUGGUGCAAAAGUGACCAUUUUUUUUUUCUGCCUUUGACCUUAGCUAGACUAUUGUAGUAGUUUCCCAGUAGGUUUCCUGUAUCUUGUCUCUUCUUCCUCUUGCCUCCAAGAAUCUCUAACACAGCUGAUAAAUGAAACUUUUCCU